Long non-coding RNA from Polistes dominula (European paper wasp), 397 nucleotides. NCBI's taxonomy places the organism in Eukaryota, Metazoa, Arthropoda, Insecta, Hymenoptera, Vespidae. The record is from RefSeq and is a predicted model, not a curated record.
CGAGCUUCGAAGGUGCGGUCUUUAUGUGUGUGUCGUCGCGACUCGUGCUGUGUUUUGCAAAUUCUUCUCUUUCUCUUUUACCUAUUUGUUUUUUUUUUCUUUUUUUCGUUCACCGUUAAUACGACACAUUGCAUCAACGAUAUAAAAUUAUCAACGAAAAAAAACUUUUACGUGUUAAUGACAUUUCAUCUUUGUGCAUCUCGUGUCGGUGACAGACAAUAAUUAUCUUUGCUGAAAAAGUCGGGACAUAAUCCAGGACGACAGAUCCUGAACAUUUGAUUACGGGAAAUGCACUACGAAAUCAUCAAAUAAGCUGAGAAGAAAUUUUUCCCACUGUCUUUCUCUACUAGAAUCAAGAAAAAUCAUUUUAAUUUACCAAAGUGGUUGUAUAGAAAAA